UACGGAGGAUCCGAGCGUUAUCCGGAUUUAUUGGGUUUAAAGGGUGCGCAGGCGGGAAAUUAAGUCGGCGGUGAAAUUUUGCGGCUCAACCGUAAAAGUGCCUUCGAAACUGGUUUCCUUGAGUGUAGAUGAAGUAGGCGGAAUUUGUGGUGUAGCGGUGAAAUGCAUAGAUAUCACGAGGAACUCCGAUUGCGAAGGCAGCUUACUAAGCUACUACUGACGCUCAGGCACGAAGGCGUGGGGAUCAAACAGGAUUAGAUACCCGGGUAGUCCCUGAG
This 278-nucleotide ribosomal RNA is filed under the name uncultured prokaryote. RNAcentral's name for it is "partial 16S ribosomal RNA". It matches the Rfam family "Bacterial small subunit ribosomal RNA", at positions 524 to 801 of the family's 1533-position model. The record is from RNAcentral.